Molecule: unclassified non-coding RNA, 377 nt
Filed under: plant metagenome
Description: partial contains 5.8S ribosomal RNA, internal transcribed spacer 2, and large subunit ribosomal RNA
Rfam family: 5.8S ribosomal RNA (bases 1-104)
Source: RNAcentral
GAAAUGCGAUAAGUAAUGUGAAUUGCAGAAUUCAGUGAAUCAUCGAAUCUUUGACGCACCUUGCGCUCCUUGGUAUUCCUUGGAGCAUGCCUGUUUGAGUAUCAUGAAAUCUUCAAAGUAAAUCUUUUGUUAACUCAAUUGGUUUCUACUUUGGUAUUGGAGGUCUUUGCAGCUUCACACCUGCUCCUCUUUGUUCAUUAGCUGGAUCUCAGUGUUAUGCUUGGUUCCACUCGGCGUGAUAAGUUAUCUAUCGCUGAGGACACUGUAAAAGGUGGCCAAGGUAAAUGCAGAUGAACCGCUUCUAAUAGUCCAUUGACUUGGACAAUACUUUUAUGAUCUGAUCUCAAAUCAGGUAGGACUACCCGCUGAACUUAAGC